GCGAGGAGCCCAAUCCCGUAACAAACAUAACAAACACAAAUAAAUACCGGUCCCACUACAUUAAUGUUGCAUAGUUUUACCAAAAUUAACUUAUCUUCUUCAUCCUUCCUUCCUCCCUCUCUAAUUCAAACCAUGACCUGCAAGUAUGAGACCUAGAUGAUGGGGUUCCCUUCUCACAUUUGCUGCUUUAAUUUCUUCAGCUCGCUAAACCCAUAAAAAUCCAUUUUUCUCCUCUACAUCAAUAACCUUCGUAGAUUUUCAGGGAUAAUAUUGCCCUUCUCAUGAAACUAACAUUUUGGAAUGCAUCUUGAGAUUCUUUUAUAAUCGAAAUAUAGUUUCCCACGCUCAAUUCCACGUACGAAUUAAUGUAAUCACUACUACUCGAGUCUCAUGAAGAUGACUUCUCGAUAGGUCGAUUGUAGUCCAUAAAUGGCAGAAUGACAAUUGGUAUAUAGUAGUUUUUGGGUUUUAGACAGGGAAGACAGAGGAAGAUAAGCUAAUCUUGGUAGUGGGACCGGCAUCCCACUUGGCAGAUUUUAAAAGGGUCUCAUACAAGUAGUGCUUGUUGCGUGACUCACAAAAUAAAAAAUUUCUCUAUUCCUGCUCUGAAUGUGUCAAUGUCACGGAACACCAAUUUGGAAUCAAAAUGGAAGUACGGUAACAAGCUGCGGCCCGGUGUACUUAAUCUCCUCUUGGAUUUAUGACGUGUCAUGUAUAAUAUUAAAUGGCUCAGAUUCUUUCUCCCAAAUUUUGAUUCUAAGCACAUCCUUCACAGAAAUAAAUCCACUUAAAUCACUCUUCCUCCAUAUUCCCAAUACCACUGUACCACGCAAUGCAAGUCUAUGUAAAAUUUACAAUAAUAUGCCCAAACACUAAAAGAUCAUGGAUCAUUCUUAAAUUUGUCUUCUGCUUCUUAGUGUGAUAUUUAAAAUUUUAAAUAAAUUUGGUGUAGUUUUUCAUUUAUUAUUGAUCAUGUGUCAAAUCUUGGUGUAAUAUUUAAAACAACGAAUAAAUUCGGUGUAGUUUUUAUCUAUUAUUGAUGUGUCUAAUUUUGGUGUAAUAUUGUUAUAUCCCGCAUUUUUGUGCAAUCGGAUAAUUCAAGACAAUCGCGGGAAGACAAUAAGCAAGGCCUUAUUUUUGUUUUGUUUGGCAUAUGAGUUGUUUAUGAAAGAUUUAGAAGCGGAAUUAUCAAGAGAGUCUAGGGGUAAAAUUGGAAUUUUUGGGAAAAUAGUUUUAUGAAUUACUACUUGUCAUGAAGAAUAAUUGGGCUUGAAAUUUUAGAAGGCAAAAGAGGGCCCAACCGGCCAUGGCAUGGGCUAAGCCCAUGAGGGGGUUUAAUUUACAAGAAUAAAAGAUGACUAAGUCAUCCUUAUCAUGUAAUUUUCUAGAAAUCUCAAGAAGUGGAAGAACAAGAAAAACAAGGAGAAACUUUAAAGGCCAUUCGGCCACAACAAAUUCCACCAAAACCUUGGAAGAUUUUCCAUCAAAAAUCAUUCUCUUCUAGCCAAACAAUCCCUAGCAAGGUGGAGUAUUCAUUGGAGCAAGAAAAACAUAUAUUCAUAAGUUGGAAAUUCAAGCAAGUUGGAGAAUCAAAGAAGGAGAUUUUGGCGGAUUUGCAACUUGAAUUUGGAAUAGCAUAAGGAGCGGAAAGAGGUCAGCAGGUAGACGGACCUGAUUUCUAGGAGUUCUAUCAGCAGUUAUCGGCAGCGCUCCAGUUGUCCCGGAGCCUCAGAUUCUUGGUACUAUUUUGUGUAUAUAUGUUCGGGCACGGUAGUACUCGGCCCUUUCUAUGUAUAUGUGUACUAUGUUUAGAGGCUCGUAGACAGAUAUGUACAGUUAGAUGUUUUGUACUUUUGAUGGUCCUAGUCGCUGUAUACUGUGCUAGUAAAGCUUAUUAGCCUAUGUUUAUAAGUAUCCUCCUAAUGUUAACGUUUAGUAAACAAGAAAAAUAUAUGGUAUAGUUCAUA
Molecule: long non-coding RNA, 1967 nt
Organism: Lycium barbarum (goji berry)
Lineage: Eukaryota; Viridiplantae; Streptophyta; Magnoliopsida; Solanales; Solanaceae
Exons: 4
Source: RefSeq, a predicted model, not a curated record